UCCCUCUCAGGAUGGCACCUGGAGAGUUUCAAGUAGUCUGCCAGUCUCAGCUACUGGAGGGAGAGUCAAGCAGAGGGCCACCCAUUCCAUUCUUAGCUUGGGCAGUGGCUAGCGAGCGGAAGGUGAUCUGCUACAAGU
This is a small nucleolar RNA of Ornithorhynchus anatinus (platypus), 138 nucleotides long. NCBI's taxonomy places the organism in Eukaryota, Metazoa, Chordata, Mammalia, Monotremata, Ornithorhynchidae. The record is from RefSeq and is a predicted model, not a curated record.